GUUGGAAAUCCCGCCCUGAAUAUGAGGGGGUGGGUUGGUAAUUCCACCUCAGGUGCGUUGGAAAUCCCACCCCGAAUGUGAGGGGGUGGGUUGGUAAUUCCACCUUAAAAUUGCGAUGCGAUCUGCCCCAAGUUGCCUUAUGUUGGCUUGUCUUUGAGGGGGUGGAUUUAGUCCCACAUCGGUUAGAUUGGAAGCUUGAUCAGAGUUUAUAAAGAGGAAGCACUC
Molecule: long non-coding RNA, 225 nt
Filed under: Medicago truncatula (barrel medic)
Lineage: Eukaryota; Viridiplantae; Streptophyta; Magnoliopsida; Fabales; Fabaceae
Description: long non-coding RNA (MTRU_LNC002252)
Source: RNAcentral